Gasterosteus aculeatus aculeatus (three-spined stickleback) is the source of this 1301-nucleotide long non-coding RNA. The record is from Ensembl. Lineage: Eukaryota; Metazoa; Chordata; Actinopteri; Perciformes; Gasterosteidae.
CAAAUUACAGCUUUGAGUUCAGCGUUCACUCCUCGAGUGUAAACUGAGCUCUUAAUCUGCUUAAUGCAGAAAUCACUCUUCUUCUACUCUCAAAAAAGACAAGACUACUUUCGGUCCAGAUAUUUUGUGUGUUGACAGAAAAAAAACAUCAAAUUGGUGCAUUCCUGUUUGUGUUGAUAAAAUUGCGACGCCUGUUUUAUGCAACAUGAGAUUACAUUUUCACACCUGAUAAUGGCGAUGUAGCCCGUGAACACGAUGCUGGCGUAGACGUUGAGGAAGAGGACGGAUGCGCCAAGGUUGCAGUUGAGCAAGUGGAUGGUGGCGUAGCGUCUGUUAUAGUUGGCCAUGCGUAAUGGUAAACAGAGGCAGAGCCAGAAGUCAGCGACCGCCAAGUUCUUCAGGUAGACCGCGAGGCUGCCGGGCGCUCUCCGAUGACCUCGGCAAAAGAAAAACGCCAAGAUGAAGCCGUUGAGCGGGAGACCCACCUGGAGAGAAAAACAUGAAACACCAGACCGUGGACCGCCAUGAAGAAGAUGUCGGCCGAGCGGUCCACCGGAACACAGGUCGAACCGUUUGUGACGGACGACUGGUUGAAGGAUGAAGGCCCAUCCUCUACUGCUCCGUCAGUCAUUUCCAUCCGAUUGACCUAGAGGAGGUGAACCCAAAUUACAAAUCUACAUAUUCACAGUCAGCCCAAAAAUACGCUGUAGAUGUAUCACUAGAGGAAUGCAUGUAUGGCUUCAAAUCUAUUUUGUAUGAUAUAUUCUACUGAAAUGAACACAUUAAAACAAGAGAGGGAUGAAAUGCCUGCAGCACUUACCUGUCAGUGUGGACGUCUGAAAUGGGACUGAACUGCUUCCGUCUUUAAGGCUAUCUCGCAGGACUGCUGCAGAAGAGUGAUGGUGGCCACGAUAGCUUCCUCUGACAUCCUCCACAACUUAGUGGUCAAAAACCUACGCUUUGUAAAAGACAAAAAAAAGCACUAUCUACUAUCUGAGGUGAGGUGUGGAAGAAGCAUGACGUCGAUGUGCUAAUCCAUCAAUCUUAAAGUACAGCAUUCAAAAUUCUACCUGAGUAAGGCAAGGCAAUUUCAUUUGUAUAGCAUAUUUCAACAACAGGGCCGAUUUUGCAACUGUCUUAGUAUGGCUGUUCAGGUUGAGAUCCGAAUCAAUAACUACACCUAGAUUUCUUGGUUCCUUUGUGGUUUUUAACUUCAGCGAUUGAAGCUCAAUGUCAAUGUUUUAUUAAAGAAAGUUUUGCCACAUCCCGUUGUUUCACUGUUGAAUGCAUUUACAUAGCCC